RNAcentral lists this unclassified non-coding RNA (350 nucleotides) under uncultured Geodermatophilaceae bacterium. RNAcentral's name for it is "contains 16S-23S intergenic spacer region". The record is from RNAcentral. Lineage: Bacteria; Bacillati; Actinomycetota; Actinomycetes; Geodermatophilales; Geodermatophilaceae.
UCCAACUUAUCGCUAGACAUGGUAACUAGCGACGAGGGUUGCGCUCGUUGCGGGACUUAACCCAACACCUCACGGCACGAGCUGACGACAACCAUGCACCACCUGUGCACGGCCCUUACGGACCCCCCCAUCUCUGGAGGAUUUCCGCGCAUGUCAAGCCUAGGUAAGGUUCUUCGCGUUGCAUCGAAUUAAGCAACAUGCUCCGCCGCUUGUGCGGGCCCCCGUCAAUUCCUUUGAGUUUUAGCCUUGCGGCCGUACUCCCCAGGCGGGGCGCUUAAUGCGUUAGCUGCGGCACGGAGACCGUGGAAUGGCCCCCACACCUAGCGCCCAACGUUUACGGCGUGGACUAC